GCUCCCCCCCCCUCCUUGUCCUCGCCCUCGCGAUUGCCUGCACUGAGCUAGCCCCUGCCUCGUCAUGUUUUCCGCUUUCCUCGCCGUUUCAGGUGUCAUGCAGCCUCCUGACUCGCCACAUAGACAUCAGGUAUCAGUAAUGAAGUUUGUGGUGGAACCUGUGAGCAAGGAUUGAGGAUGGCUAUGAAGGCUGGUUGGUCUCCGUAGCCAGCCUGAUAGUAUCCACACCACUCUAAUCACCAUUAUUUCCACUAAGGGAGGUGGCACACCACAUCUCACGCAGGAUGUGCUGCACCGGUGGUGUGGCGUUGAGGGAAGCGCCUCUCUGUAUCUCUGCCCACCACUUUAUUGAACACACAUGAAGGUGCUCCAGAGUUUCAAGAAGGGAGUGGCACACACACUUUGCUGCACUCCAAGCUUUGGAGGUCCAGCGGCACACCACACACUGCUUUCAUAUACGUGUGGGGAGAGUGAAAGACUAAGAGUGGCAAGGAUGGAGGAUGCUGCAACAUUCACACCAUCAUUGGUUCAUGCUUUAUUUUUUUUUUGUGUGUAAAGUAGUGCACACAGUUUUAACUGAAGGAUUAUAUGUCAUCAUUCAUAUUUGUAGAUUUCAUGACCUAGCAUUGUGUUGACUGUGCAUCAGAUCACUUCAUUACAUGUAAGUGUAUAUUUAGGUACAAGGAGUAACGGUUUAUGAAAUUUGUGAAAAGUGACUUACAAGAGAUCUUGCAUUAUGAAGAUUUGUUUCAAGGUCUUUGUUAAUUAGCUUUCUUUUUUUCUUUUUUUCUUUAUUUUUUAAAUUUUAUUUAUUUAUUUUUUAUGGUAAGGCCUGUAGCGCCUGUAAGCACACUUGAAGAGUGUAUGGGAAGCGCUGUUCAACUUCCACCCAUUAGUGGGGCAGGCAAUUUUAUUUAUAGUGGUACCCAUAUUAGGGCCCAUAUCACCGCCCAAGCUCAUCUUGACUGUAA
Long non-coding RNA from Portunus trituberculatus (swimming crab), 971 nucleotides. RefSeq lists it as uncharacterized. NCBI's taxonomy places the organism in Eukaryota, Metazoa, Arthropoda, Malacostraca, Decapoda, Portunidae. The record is from RefSeq and is a predicted model, not a curated record. The transcript is spliced from 4 exons.